GGACAAGUAAGUUCAGUUCCACUUGGACUCUGUACAAGUAAGUUCAAUUCCACUUGGACUGUGGACAAGUAAGUUCAGUUCCAUUUGGACUCUGUACAAGUAAGUUCAAUUCCACUUGGACUGUGGACAAGUAAGUUCAAUUCCACUUGGACUGUGGACAAGCAAGUUCAAUUCCACUUGGACUGUGGACAAGUAAGUUCAAUUCCAUUUGAACUGUGGACAAUAAGUUCAGUUCCACUUGGACUGUGGACAAGUAAGUUCAGUUCCACUUGGACUAUGGACAAGUAAGUUCAGUUCCACUUGGACUGUGGAGAAGUAAGCGCAUUUGCUAUCCCGUUGACUGUGUAUUCGUUAUUGAACCUAAGAUUAUUGUCAUUAGCAUCUUGAGUAUCUAAUCGCCACGGUUAAUC
RNAcentral lists this unclassified non-coding RNA (410 nucleotides) under Bombus terrestris (buff-tailed bumblebee). RNAcentral describes it as "misc RNA ENSBTSG00005033642.1". The record is from RNAcentral. Lineage: Eukaryota; Metazoa; Arthropoda; Insecta; Hymenoptera; Apidae.